Molecule: non-coding RNA, 2361 nt
Organism: Anolis sagrei ordinatus
Lineage: Eukaryota; Metazoa; Chordata; Lepidosauria; Squamata; Anolidae
Source: RefSeq, a predicted model, not a curated record
CUAACAGCCGGUAGGCUGUUAGGAAUUGUGGGAGUUGAAGUCCAAAACACCUGGAGGGGCCCAAGUUUGCCCAUGCUUGCUCUAAGCCAUCAAAUUCUCCCUCGUCUCAGUUUCAUUGCAUUUGGGAUGGAGGGGAGCAGAGAACGAAAGAGUAAUAUUUGUAUAGGAGGGGGAUUGCAUUCCCUGUGCCAUGGUGACCCAUCCUUGCCUUUCCUUCUUCCAAGGAUGGUGAUUCAAUAGGGUGCUGUUUCAUACAUAUCCUUUAGAGUUCUUUUUUUGUUUAAUCUUCCUUUCGAAUGACUGUUUUAACUAAAAAAGAGAAAAGAAAAAUACCUCAGGUUUAAAAAGAAACGGUGAAGAACAAAAAUAUCAUCCAAGGGUCUCUCUUAACUGUAUAGACUGCUGCUUUGAGGAGGGAAGGGAGGCAGACGGACCAAUUUGGGGGUGCUAUCCAUGGCCAGAGAUACGGUUUGGACCCCAAGGGGUGCAGGCAAUGAAAUCCUCCCCUUUCUCUGCUUCCCUCCCCUACACAGGUUUUCCCACUUUACAAUCACUGGAAAGGCAUCCCCUCAUUGAUAUGUUGGUAAACGUGUCCCUUGGACACAAAACGGACUGGUCCUGGAAUGGUACAAGGACACGGAGAAAUGUCUCCUCCUGAAAUUCUCUUCUUGCCCCCUCCAUCCUCUCUGAGAUGUUAGCCUUCAACAAAAUGCUCCAAGGUCCCCCCUCUCCUCUAUCUGGUAUGCCAUGACAUGUCUCUUAGACACACUACACCAAACAUAGGGCCUAAACACACUGUAACACUGAAUCCCCCCCCUACUUGAUUUUAGUAAACCAGUACUAUAUUCUUCCCUCUCUUUUCCCCUCCAUGCAAAAUGCUUCAAGGUUCCCUCUCAUCCAUCUGAUCUGCCAUGGCAUGUCUCUUAGACACACUACACCAAAUGCAGAACCUAAACACACUAUAAGACAGGCAAUAAUACUAACUCCCACCCCCUCCAUUUUAGAAGUACCAUAUUUUUCUCUUUCUUUUCCCCUGUAUGCAAAAUGCUCCAGGGUUCCCUCUCUUCCAUCCAAUCUGCCAUGACAUGUCUCUUAGACACACUACACUAAACACAAGGCAUAAACACACUAUAAUACAGGUAUCAAAUUGGGACUUUUCCCCGUUUAGCAGACCACUGCUAUGUUAUCUUUUCCCUGCUCCCUCGCAACAACAAACUGCUCCAGGAUCCCCCUCCCCUCUAACUGGUCUGCCAUGGCAUGUCUCUUAGAGGUGCUACACCAAAUGCAGGGCCUAAACACACUAUAACACAGGCAGUAAUACUGAACCCCCCCCCCCCAUUUUAGUAGACCAAUCCCCAUUUUAGUAGACCAAUACUAUAUUCUUCCCCUCCACGCAAAAUGCUCCAAGGUUCCCUUUCUCUUCCAUCCAAUCAGCCAUGACAUGUCUCUUAGACACACUACUCUAAACACAAGGCAUAAACACACUAUAAUACAGGUAUCAAAUGGGACUUUUCCCCAGUUUAGCAGACCAGUGUUAUAUUCUCCUUUCCCUGCUUCCUCUCAACAACAAACUGCUCCAAGGCGUGUUCUCCUCCUCUAUCUGGUCUGCCGUAACAUGUCUCUUAGACACGCUACACUAAACACAAGGCAUAAACACACUAUAAUACAGGUAUCAAAUGGGAUUUUUCCCUUUUAGUAGACCAGUGCUAUAUUUUUUCCCUCCUCCCUCUCAACAACAAACUGCUCCAAGACCCCCUCCCCUUAAUCUGAUCUGCCAUGGCAUGUCUCUUAGACAUGUUACAUCAAACACAGGGCCUAAACAACACACUGUAACACAGGUAUCAAAUGGGCUUUCCCCCAGUUUAGCGGACCAGUGCUAUAUUCUCUCUUCUCCCAAUGCUUGCCCCCCAAUUCUUCAUCCCUCACAGGACUUGAAUCACACAGGUGCCCACUUCUCCUUACCCAUCCGUUGGGUAAGAGAAAGGGAAAGAAAACAAAAAUAAAAAGGGGAGGGGGGAUAUCUGGUUUGGAGCAAUGUGUCUUUGGCAGUAUUCAAUCUAAACACCUCCAUCUCGGCCUUUUUGGGACUGUUGGGGCUUUGGGGGGACAGGAUUCGGGGAGGGCCGCAAGAACAGGUUCCGAUCUGAAUUUCAGGGGUUCUAUUAUUGUACAAUAACUGUUUGCUAUAUAAACAAAACAAAAUCUUUGAAAAAAUGAAAUAUGUGUUUUGGUCUUAAAAGCCUGUUUUUGUUUUUUGUUUUGUUUUGUUCUACCCCUCCCCCACCUGACCCUUUUGGGGGUUUUAUUUUCAUUUUUGUUUAAAGAAAAAUGUUGCGAAUAAAAAAAGUUGGGUUUUUUUAA